GGUCAAGUUACUAAGGGCAUGUGGUGGAUGCCUUGGCGCCUGGAGCCGAUGAAGGACGUGGCGUGACUGCGAAAAUCCCUGGCUAGCUGUCAAGCGAGCUUAACCGGGGGUAUCCGAAUGAGGCAACUCAGCUCAAUUUUAUUGAGUUACCGCUGAUUGAACACAUAAAUCAGAUGGAGGGAACCGGGGGAACUGAAACAUCUAAGUACCCUGAGGAAUAGAGAUUAUUCCCUUAGUAGCGGCGAGCGAACGGGGAACAGCCCAAACCGUCUUCUGCGGAAGGCGGGGUUGUAGGACAGUUCAUAUGGAGUUACAAANNGNUUNGAUANCUGAANCGCCUGGGANGGNGUGCCACAGAUGGUGANAGCCCAGUAAGUGACAUNGANNCNACUCCGANCUGUAUCCUGAGUAGUGCGGGACACGAGAAAUCCCGUNUGAAUCUGGGAAGACCACUUUCCAAGGCUAAAUACUCCAGGCGACCGAUAGCGUAUAGUACCGUGAGGGAAAGGUGAAAUAGUACCCCGAGAGGGGAGUGAAAUAGUUCCUGAAACCGCAUGCUUACAAGCAGUUGGAGCCAGUUCGUUCGCGAAUUGGUGACAGCGUGCCUAUUGAAGAAUGAGCCAACGAGUUACGUUCAGUGGCAAGGUUAAGCGAUGAGAGUCGUGGAGCCGUAGCGAAAGCGAGUCUUAAAAGGGCGAAAGUGGCUGGACGUAGACCCGAAACCGAGUGAUCUACCCAUGGGCAGAGUGAAGCGGGAGUAAUGCCCCGUGGAGGCUCGAACCUUCCUGAGCUGCAAAUCAGUUGGAUGACCUGUGGGUAGCGGAGAAAUUCCAAUCGAACUCGGAGAUAGCUGGUUCUCCUCGAAAUGUAUCUAGGUACAGCCUCGUGUGUUUUCUUCUGGGGGUAUGGCUCUGAAUGGACUAGGGGGCAUAGCGCUUACCAAACCCAAUCAAACCGGGAAUACCAGAAGAUUAGAACGCGGGAGUGAGACUGUGGGAGCUAACUUCCAUGGUCAAGAGGGAAACAACCCAGACCCCCGGCUAAGGUCCCUAAAUCCAUGCUCAGUGUGCAAGGAUGUCCAGUUGCAUAGACAACCAGGAUGUUGGCUUAGAAGCAGCCANCAUUUAAAGAGUGCGUAACUGCUCACUGGUCGAGUGGCCGGGCGCCGACAAUGUAACGGGGCUNAAGCAUGGUACCGAAGCUAGGGGACCGCUUUUUAGCGGUCGGUAGAGGAGCGUUCUGUAUGCNAUGAAGCUGUGCGGGUGACCGUCGGUGGAGCGUNCAGAAGUGAGAAUGUNGGCAUGAGUAGCGAAAUUCAGGUGAGAACCCUGAACGCCGUAAGCCCAAGGGAUCCUACGCAAAGCUAAUCCGCGUAGAGUUAGGCGGGCCUAAGCCGAGGGCGAGAGCCGUAGGCGAUGGACAGCAGGUAAGUAUUCCUGCCCCACCAUAUGGGCGUUUGAGAUGUGAGGUGUGACCCAGAAGGAUAGACAGAGCGGGCCCUGUGGACAUGGUCCGUCCCUACACCGUAGGCGUCUGACGAUAGGAAAAUCCGUUGUCAGGUUAAGCGGAGGGUGAGGGGGGNAGUGGAGACUUCGGUCAAAACGACUCUGUUGAGUCCAUGCUGGCUAGAAAAGCAUCGGCAUCGAGUGCAUAUGGUGUCCGUACCGCAAACCGACACAGGUGGGCGACGGUAAGUACCGUAAGGCGAACGAGAGAACCUUCGUUAAGGAACUCGGCAAAAUAGCUCCGUAACUUCGGGAGAAGGAGCGCCCUUGUGAGUGAAACACUUUACGUGUGGAGCAUCACGAGGGCCGCAGUGAGCAGGCCCAGGCGACUGUUUAACAAAAACACAGGUCUCUGCGAACCAGUAAUGGGAUGUAUAGGGGCUGACGCCUGCCCAGUGCCGGAAGGUUAAGGAGAUGGCUGAGAGGCCAGAACUGAAGCCCCGGUGAACGGCGGCCGUAACUAUAACGGUCCUAAGGUAGCGAAAUUCCUUGUCGGGUAAGUUCCGACCCGCACGAAUGGCG
RNAcentral lists this ribosomal RNA (2027 nucleotides) under Chloroflexota bacterium. RNAcentral's name for it is "bacterial LSU rRNA". It matches the Rfam family "Bacterial large subunit ribosomal RNA", at positions 1 to 2001 of the family's 2925-position model. Lineage: Bacteria; Bacillati; Chloroflexota. The record is from RNAcentral.